This 301-nucleotide ribosomal RNA is filed under the name uncultured bacterium. RNAcentral describes it as "partial 16S ribosomal RNA". It matches the Rfam family "Bacterial small subunit ribosomal RNA", at positions 509 to 809 of the family's 1533-position model. The record is from RNAcentral.
CAGCAGCCGCGGGAAUACAGAGGGUGCGAGCGUUAAUCGGAUUUACUGGGCGUAAAGCGUGCGUAGGCGGCUUUUUAAGUCGGAUGUGAAAUCCCUGAGCUUAACUUAGGAAUUGCAUUCGAUACUGGGAAGCUAGAGUAUGGGAGAGGAUGGUAGAAUUCCAGGUGUAGCGGUGAAAUGCGUAGAGAUCUGGAGGAAUACCGAUGGCGAAGGCAGCCAUCUGGCCUAAUACUGACGCUGAGGUACGAAAGCAUGGGGAGCAAACAGGAUUAGAUACCCGAGUAGUCCCUGUCUCUUAUCC